CCUUUCACCCCACCUUUCUUUUCUGUUUCUCUGUAAGCAAAUGAAGAAGCACCACCGCCACCUCCUCUCCAUGGCGCCGCUGCUCCAGGGCUCCCCUCGUCACUCCGAGACCACCCACAGAACCGCCUCGGCGUCCUCUAUAUCCUCCCCAAAGGAAUCGAGCCGGGGUGCUCUUAAUCGUCUCCAAAAUCGCUGUUUCUUCUUCUACUCCGGUGACAAAAUUCUUCAAAUUCCGGCCACCUCGAACCUUCCCCGGCCGUCGCACCACCCGUCGUUGGUCCGCUGCUCCAAGGCGCAUCUCCGACACCAUCCAUCUCGCCUCAGUUCAUCCUCGAACUUCAGAUCCGGGCUCACCUGCAAGUCCCGCCAUGGCCCCAAGCUCCGCUCCUAUCUGCUUCAAGUAGUGCGCGGCCCAUGUUCUUCAACAUCAAAACCAGCAGCCCAGUGAUCCAGCGUUGCAGGCGGGCCUUGGCCCAGGACCUUUAGCGCAGCCCAUCGCCGCUGAGCAGAAGAUAGCUUCCCGACGCCCUCCGCAUUUGCUUCUUCGCGGAUAGGAUCACGAAGUGGUGCGG
Lolium rigidum is the source of this 572-nucleotide long non-coding RNA. RefSeq lists it as uncharacterized. The record is from RefSeq and is a predicted model, not a curated record. The transcript is spliced from 3 exons. NCBI's taxonomy places the organism in Eukaryota, Viridiplantae, Streptophyta, Magnoliopsida, Poales, Poaceae.